This 200-nucleotide ribosomal RNA is filed under the name uncultured Enterobacteriaceae bacterium. Its description in RNAcentral is "partial 16S ribosomal RNA". It matches the Rfam family "Bacterial small subunit ribosomal RNA", at positions 72 to 288 of the family's 1533-position model. The record is from RNAcentral. Lineage: Bacteria; Pseudomonadati; Pseudomonadota; Gammaproteobacteria; Enterobacterales; Enterobacteriaceae.
AGGGAAGCUUGCUUCUACGAGCGGCGGACGGGUGAGUAAUGUAUGGGGAUUUGCCCGAUAGAGGGGGAUAACUGCUGGAAACGGUAGCUAAUACCGCAUAAUCUCUCAGGAGCAAAGCAGUUCGUUGCGCUAUCGGAUGAACCCAUAUGUGAUUAGCUAGUUGGUGAGGUAAUGGCUCACCAAGGCGACGAUCCCUAGCU